AGCAGGAAGUGCCUAACAACAUUACAUUGUGUUGUUACAAAGCAAUGGUCUGUUUAUUUGCUUCAGUUUUUUGGCCAAGGUAGCUCACUGCACUUCAUUUAAGUAAUAAAGACAUCUAAAUUAGAAACCUGAACAUUCUUACACUAUGUAACUUGUUACAAGUGAUGGCUGGUGUGUACAGUAUAUUCCACAUCGAACUCACCAUACACCCACCAUCACCACUACCAAGUGGACAGCCUGCUUUAGUUAUGAGGAAUUCCCAUCAUUUUAGCAGCAAAAUAAGCAGUGAAAUGUUUAAAACGACAGACAAAACCAAAUAAACUUUACAGUCAGACACAAAGAAUAGAAGCAGAUGUCCAUAAGGAGAAAGAAAAGGAAUAUCUACUGACUGAGGGAAAUCAAUGGAAGUUAUGAUGAUCAUGGCUUUUAUUAGUGCUGUGA
Octopus sinensis (East Asian common octopus) is the source of this 441-nucleotide long non-coding RNA. RefSeq lists it as uncharacterized. The record is from RefSeq and is a predicted model, not a curated record. Lineage: Eukaryota; Metazoa; Mollusca; Cephalopoda; Octopoda; Octopodidae. The transcript has 3 exons.